AUAAUUAAUAUUUAAAAAAAUUAAAUAUAAAUUUAAUUUAUUUAAAGCUAAUAAAAAUAUGAGUUUAAAAUAAAUAUAAUUUGUGUGAGUAUAGUUUAUAAUAAUAUAACUUAUAAAUUUUAAUUUAUUAAUAAAAAUUGAGUGUUUUUAGCAUUAAGACAUAUUUAAUAAAUUUAUAAAAAAAUAAGUUUAGUAAAAUUAAUUUUUUUAAAAAAAAAUUAAAAAAUUAGUAAAAUUAAAAGUUUAAUUAAAAUAAUUAAAAAAGUGAUGUAAUUUAAAUGUAAUAAUUAAUUUAAUUAUAAGAUAAAUUUAAUAUUUUUACCUUUUGUAUCAGGGUUAAUUUAAAAUUUUUAAUUAAUAUUAAUUUUCUCGAAAUAAAAAAAUUUAAAAUUUUAAUUUUAUUAAUAUUUAAAUAUUAAAAUAAAAUAAAAUUUUAGAAAUGAUAUGUUAAUCAAUUUUUGUAAUAUCUAGUUAUUUAAUAAAUAAAUUUAAUUUAAAUAUAAUUUAAAUUUAAAUUAAUUUAAAAUUUAAAUUUGUAAAAUUAUAUAAAUAAUUUAGGGGAUAAACUUUAAAUUAAUAUUAAAAUAAAAAAAAAUUAAUAAUUUAUAAAGUAUAAAUAAUAUUAUUUUUUUUAAUAAAAAUUUAAUAAUUUAAUAAAUUUAAUAAAAUAAUUUAAAAAAAAUUUAAAAAAUUAUUAAAUUAUUUAAUUAAAUUUUUAUAUUUAAUAAAUAAUGAUUAAAUAAGUAAUUUAAUAUUUUAAAAAUAUAAUUUUUAAUUAAAAAUAAAUUUUAUGAAUUAGGCAAAAUUUUAUUCACCUGUUUAACAAAAACAUGUCUUUUUGAAAUUAUAAUUUUAAGUCAAGUCUGCUCCAUGAAUUUUAAAUAGCUGCAGUAUAAAUAACUGUACAAAGGUAGCAUAAUAAUUAGCCUUUUUAUUGAAGGCUUGAAUGAAGGAUUAAAUGAGAUAAAAACUGUAUUAAAAUUAAUAAAUAAAUUUUUUUUUAAAUAAAAAAAUUUAAAUGUUAUUUAAAGACGAGAAGACCCUAAAGAAUUUUUAAUAAAUUUUAUAUAUAAAAAAAUGUAAAUUUUGUUUUUAGUUGGGGAAAUUUUAAAAUUAAAUAAAUUUUUAAUUAAAUUAAACAAUAAUAUUUGAAUAAUUUAAAGUUUUUUUAAAAAAUAAAUUUAAAUUACCUUAGGGAUAACAGCAUAAUUUUUUUAAAAAGUUCAAAUUUAUAAAAAAGCUUAUGACCUCGAUGUUGAAUUAAGAUAAAUUAUUUAGCAAAAAAAAUAAAAUUUUAGUCUGUUCGACUAUUAAAUUCUUACAUGAUUUGAGUUAAGAUCGGUGUAAGCCAGAUCGGAUUCUAUCUUAAAUUAAAUUAAAUAUUUUUGUACGAAAGGACUUUAUGUUUAAAAUAAUUUUUUUUAAAUUUAAAUUAAUAAUAAAUAUUAAAUAAUAAGAUUUUAAUA
This 1466-nucleotide ribosomal RNA is filed under the name Fornicia albalata. Its description in RNAcentral is "16S ribosomal RNA". Lineage: Eukaryota; Metazoa; Arthropoda; Insecta; Hymenoptera; Braconidae. The record is from RNAcentral.